GACGAACGCGGGCGGCGUGCUUAAUACAUGCAAGUAGAACGCUGAAGGAGGAGCUUGCUUCUCGGGUGAGUUGCGAACGGGUGAGUAACGCGUAGGUAACCUGCCUGGUAGCGGGGGAUAACUAUGGAAACGAUAGCUAAUACCGCAUAAGAGUAGAUGUUGCAUGACAUUUGCUUAAAAGGUGCAAUUGCAUCACUACCAGAUGGACCUGCGUUGUAUUAGCUAGUUGGUGAGGUAACGGCUCACCAAGGCAACGGUACAUAGCCGACCUGAGAGGGUGAUCGGCCACACUGGGACUGAGACACGGCCCAGACUCCUACGGGAGGCAGCAGUAGGGAAUCUUCGGCAAUGGACGGAAGUCUGACCGAGCAACGCCGCGUGAGUGAAGAAGGUUUUCGGAUCGUAAAGCUCUGUUGUAAGAGAAGAACGAGUGUGAGAGUGGAAAGUUCACACUGUGACG
RNAcentral lists this ribosomal RNA (460 nucleotides) under Streptococcus mitis. RNAcentral's name for it is "bacterial SSU rRNA". It matches the Rfam family "Bacterial small subunit ribosomal RNA", at positions 28 to 474 of the family's 1533-position model. Lineage: Bacteria; Bacillati; Bacillota; Bacilli; Lactobacillales; Streptococcaceae. The record is from RNAcentral.